GAUGAACGCUGGCGGCGUGCCUAAUACAUGCAAGUCGAGCGAACGGACGAGAAGCUUGCUUCUCUGAUGUUAGCGGCGGACGGGUGAGUAACACGUGGAUAACCUACCUAUAAGACUGGGAUAACUUCGGGAAACCGGAGCUAAUACCGGAUGAUAUUUUGAACCGCAUGGUUCAAAAGUGAAAGACGGCCUUGCUGUCUCUUAUAGAGGGAUCCGCGCUGCAUUAGCUAGUUGGUAAGGUAACGGCUUACCAAGGCAACGAUGCAUAGCCGACGUGAUAGAGUGAUCGCCCACAUUGGAGCUGAGACGCGGUCCAGACUCCUGCGGGAGGCACCAGUAGGGAACCUUCCGCAAUGGGCGAAAGCCUGACGGAGCAGCGCCGCGUGAGUGAUGAAGGUCUUCGGAUCGGAAAACUCUGUUAUUAGGGAAGAACAUAUGUGUAAGUAACUGUGCACAUCUUGACGGUACCUAAUCAGAAAGCCACGGCUAACUACGUG
This 497-nucleotide ribosomal RNA is filed under the name uncultured bacterium. RNAcentral describes it as "partial 16S ribosomal RNA". It matches the Rfam family "Bacterial small subunit ribosomal RNA", at positions 28 to 507 of the family's 1533-position model. The record is from RNAcentral.